ACAGAUUUACAUUUCUAUUUCACUACCCAGCAAAACCAAGUAUAUUUUUUUUUCCCUGAGGAAAAUAUGGCCAUUUAAAAAAAUAGAAGAUUUCCAAGCAUUCCAGAUGAAAAGACCAGAUAUUUCAAUUAGCCAUUCAGAAGACUUUCAGAAUGAAUAUCAUUUGACUAAAGGUCAAAUUACAUUACUGAAGUUGCCCAAGUUCUGGAAACUCUGAGAGUCAUCUACACUAAAAGUAAGAAGACAACAAUCAGAACCUCUGUAAAAUGGUGUUCGUAGGCUUCUAAAACGCUCUUGAC
RNAcentral lists this long non-coding RNA (299 nucleotides) under Monodelphis domestica (gray short-tailed opossum). Its description in RNAcentral is "lncRNA (ENSMODG00000048518.1)". The record is from RNAcentral. Lineage: Eukaryota; Metazoa; Chordata; Mammalia; Didelphimorphia; Didelphidae.